RNAcentral lists this unclassified non-coding RNA (216 nucleotides) under soil metagenome. Its description in RNAcentral is "partial contains 5.8S ribosomal RNA, internal transcribed spacer 2, and large subunit ribosomal RNA". The record is from RNAcentral.
AACCUAGCACACCUGCGGUGUGUACCUGCGGAAGGAUCAUUACAAGUGACCCCGGUCUAACCACCGGGAUGUUCAUAACCCUUUGUUGUCCGACUCUGUUGCCUCCGGGGCGACCCUGCCUUCGGGCGGGGCUCCGGGUGGACACUUCAAACUCUUGCGUAACUUUGCAGUCUGAGUAAACUUAAUUAAUAAAUUAAAACUUUCAACAAUGGAUCU